Molecule: ribosomal RNA, 497 nt
Filed under: uncultured bacterium
Lineage: Bacteria
Description: partial 16S ribosomal RNA
Rfam family: Bacterial small subunit ribosomal RNA
Source: RNAcentral
GAUGAACGCUGGCGGCGUGCCUAAUACAUGCAAGUCGAGCGAACAGACGAGGCGCUUGCUCCUCUGACGUUAGCGGCGGACGGGUGAGUAACACGUGUAUAACCUCCCUAUAAUACUGGGAUAACUUCGGGAAACCGGCGCUAAUCCCGGAUAAUAUAUUGAACCGCGUGGUUCAAUAGUGAAAGACGGUUUUGCUGUCACUUAUCGAUGGUUCCGCGCCGCAUUGGCUAGUUGGUGAGGUACCGGGGUACCAAGGGAAGCAUGCGUGGCCGACCUGAGAGGGUGAUCGGCCACACUGGAACUGGGACACGGUCCAGACUCCUACGGGAGGCAGCAGUAGGGAACCGUACGCAAUGGGCGAAAGCCUGGCGGAGCAACGCCGAGUGAGUGAUGAAGGUCUUCGGAUCGGAAAACUCUGUUAUUAGGGAAGAACAAAUGUGUAAGGAACUAUGGACGUCUUGACGGUACCUAAUCAGAAAGCCACGGCUAACUACGUG